GUGACGAAGCGACGCCGCGUGUGGGAAGAAGGCCUUCGGGUUGUAAACCACUGUCGGGAGUUAGGAAAUGCAGGUGCGUUAAUAGCGCACUUGCUUGACUAAGGCUCCAGAGGAGGCCACGGCUAACUCUGUGCCAGCAGCCGCGGUAAUACAGAGGCGGCAAGCGUUGUUCGGAAUUAUUGGGCGUAAAGAGCACGUAGGCGGCCUUGCAAGUCAGUUGUGAAAGCCUUCCGCUUAACGGAAGAACGGCAUCUGAUACUACAGGGCUUGAGUACGGGAGGGGAGAGUGGAACUUCUGGUGGAGCGGUGAAAUGCGUAGAUAUCAGAAGGAACGCCGGCGGCGAAAGCGACUCUCUGGUCCGAAACUGACGCUGAGUGUGCGAAAGCUAGGGGAGCAAACGGGAUUAGAUACCCCGGUAGUCCUAGCCGUAAACGAUGGGCACUAAGUAGAGGGGUUUUGAUUAUUUCUCUGCCGGAGCUAACGCAUUAAGUGCCCCGCCUGGGGAGUACGGCCGCAAGGCUAAAACUCAAAAGAAUUGACGGGGGCUCGCACAAGCGGUGGAGCAUGUGGCUUAAUUCGAUGCAACGCGAAGAACCUUACCGGGGCUUGACAUGGUAGAAGUAGAAUCCUGAAAGGGUGACGAUCGGUAUCCAGUCCGAAGCUAUCACAGGUGUUUGCAUGGCUGUCGUCAGCUCGUGUCGUGAGACGUUGGGUUAAGUCCCCUAACGAGCGAAACCCUUGUCUUUAGUUGCUAACGGGUAAUGCUGAGCACUUUAGAGAGACUGCCCGUCGUUUAAGACGGAGGAAGGUGGGGACGACGUCAAGUCAUCAUGGCCCUUAUGUCCCGGGCUGCACACGUGCUACAAUGGUCGGUACAAAGGGAUGCUAAGUCGCGAGAUGGUGCGAAACCUAUAAAGCCGAUCUCAGUUCAGAUUGGAGGCUGAAACUCGCCUCCAUGAAGUUGGAAUCGCUAGUAAUCGCGGAUCAGCUACGCCGCGGUGAAUAUGUUCCCGAGCCUU
Molecule: ribosomal RNA, 1020 nt
Filed under: uncultured bacterium
Lineage: Bacteria
Description: bacterial SSU rRNA
Rfam family: Bacterial small subunit ribosomal RNA
Source: RNAcentral